Molecule: ribosomal RNA, 870 nt
Filed under: uncultured bacterium
Lineage: Bacteria
Description: bacterial SSU rRNA
Rfam family: Bacterial small subunit ribosomal RNA
Source: RNAcentral
AACCCUGGUGGCGAGUGGCGAACGGGUGAGUACAACAUCCGAACGUGCCCUGUUGUGGGGGAUAGCCCGGGGAAAGCCGGAUUAAUACCGCAUACGACCUAUGGGUGAAAGCGGGGGACCGUAAGGCCUCGCGCUACAGGAGCGGCCGAUGCCUGAUUAGCUUGUUGGUGAGGUAAAGGCUCACCAAGGCGACGAUCAGUAGCUGGUCUGAGAGGAUGACCAGCCACACUGGGACUGAGACACGGCCCAGACUCCUACGGGAGGCAGCAGUGGGGAAUUUUGGACAAUGGGCGCAAGCCUGAUCCAUCCAUGCCGCGUGCGGGAAGAAGGCCUUCGGGUUGUAAACCGCUUUUGGCAGGAACGAAACGGCGUUAGCUAAUACCUAGCGCUAAUGACGGUACCUGCAGAAUAAGCACCGGCUAACUACGUGCCAGCAGCCGCGGUAAUACGUAGGGUGCAAGCGUUAAUCGGAAUUACUGGGCGUAAAGCGUACGCAGGCGGCUAUACAAGACAGGCGUGAAAUCCCCGGGCUCAACCUGGGAACUGCAUUUGUGACUGUAUGGCUAGAGUCCGUUAGAGGGGGGUGGAAUUCCACGUGUAGCAGUGAAAUGCGUAGAGAUGUGGAGGAACACCGAUGGCGAAGGCAGCCCCCUGGGAUGAGACUGACGCUCAUGUACGAAAGCGUGGGGAGCAACCAGGAUUAGAUACCCUGGUAGUCCACGCCCUAAACGAUGUCAACUAGUUGUCGGGUCUUUACAGACUUGGUAACGCAGCUAACGCGUGAAGUUGACCGCCUGGGGAGUACGGUCGCAAGAUUAAAACUCAAAGGAAUUGACGGGGACCCGCACAAGCGGUGGAUGAUGUGGAUUA